RNAcentral lists this small nuclear RNA (324 nucleotides) under Castor canadensis (American beaver). RNAcentral describes it as "7SK RNA (ENSCCNG00000016352.1)". It matches the Rfam family "7SK RNA". Rfam says of the family: 7SK was discovered as an abundant small nuclear RNA in the mid-70s but a possible function has only recently been suggested. The record is from Rfam by way of RNAcentral. Lineage: Eukaryota; Metazoa; Chordata; Mammalia; Rodentia; Castoridae.
GGAUAUGAGGAUGACCUGGCUGUGACAUGUCACCCCAUUGAUCGCUAGGGUUGAUUUGGCUGAUUUGGCUGGCUAGAUGGGUAUCCCCUUCCUCCCUCAGGGCUCCAUGUGAGUGAGUCCUUCCCGAAGCUGCACACUUGGUCGAAGAGGACGACCAUCCCUGGUAAAGGAGGACCAUUUCUUCCCUCAAGGGUAUAGGAGUAGCUGUGCUUCCCUGCUAGGACCUCCAAACAAGCUCUCAAGACUCCAAAAAUCCAUGUUGUAGUAAGCACCUUUGCCUUAGAGAAGUAUAAUUCCUCUAGUUUUGAACCACCUUCAAUCUCU